ACAUUCUGGUUCAGCACCCCGAACAAAGUCAGGCUCAGUAUGGACUCAAGUGGGAGCACAGCGACUGCAAUGGGGAAGUUGAUCCUGGGAGAGACGAGGGACAGCAUCGGCAGAAUGGCUGUGAUUGGUCAAAGUUUCCUGUCAUAGGCUACAUCCCUCCCAGGCUGGACACAGGGCUUUUUGAGCUGAAUAUGUCAUCUAGACCGAGGAUGCUGCUAUUAGUAGUGCAAUGAAUGACACCCCAAAAGCAGAACAUUUAAAGUAUACUUUAUACAGCAAUGAGAGGGAUUUGUGUGUCAAGUAAUGUAAUAAAAACAAAUAAUUUUCAACCA
This is a long non-coding RNA of Solea senegalensis (Senegalese sole), 332 nucleotides long. RefSeq lists it as uncharacterized. NCBI's taxonomy places the organism in Eukaryota, Metazoa, Chordata, Actinopteri, Pleuronectiformes, Soleidae. The record is from RefSeq and is a predicted model, not a curated record. The transcript is spliced from 2 exons.